Molecule: ribosomal RNA, 209 nt
Filed under: uncultured bacterium
Lineage: Bacteria
Description: partial 16S ribosomal RNA
Rfam family: Bacterial small subunit ribosomal RNA
Source: RNAcentral
UUCAGAUUGCAGGCUGCAACUCGCCUGCAUGAAGUCGGAAUUGCUAGUAANCGUAGGUCAGCAUACUACGGUGAAUACGUUCCCGGGCCUUGUACACACCGCCCGUCAAACCAUGAGAGUUGGCAACACCCGAAGUCGGUAGUCUAACCGCAAGGAGGACGCCGCCGAAGGUGGGGUUGAUGAUUAGGGUUAAGUCGUAACAAGGUAAC